CCUACGGGGGGCAGCAGUGGGGAAUAUUGGGCAAUGGGCGCAAGCCUGACCCAGCAACGCCGCGUGAAGGAAGAAGGCUUUCGGGUUGUAAACUUCUUUUGACAGGGAAGAGUAGAAGACGGUACCUGUGGAAUAAGCCACGGCUAACUACGUGCCAGCAGCCGCGGUAAUACGUAGGUGGCAAGCGUUGUCCGGAUUUACUGGGUGGAAAGGGCGUGUAGCCGGGUUGACAAGUCAGAUGUGAAAUCCUGCGGCGUAACCGCAGAACUGCAUUUGAAACUGUUAAUCUUGAGUACUGGAGAGGCAGACGGAAUUCCUAGUGUAGCGGUGAAAUGCGUAGAUAUUAGGAGGAACACCAGUGGCGAAGGCGGUCUGCUGGACAGCAACUGACGGUGAGGCGCGAAAGCGUGGGGAGCAAACAGGAUUAGAUACCCCUGUAGUC
RNAcentral lists this ribosomal RNA (442 nucleotides) under uncultured bacterium. Its description in RNAcentral is "partial 16S ribosomal RNA". It matches the Rfam family "Bacterial small subunit ribosomal RNA", at positions 338 to 795 of the family's 1533-position model. The record is from RNAcentral.